RNAcentral lists this long non-coding RNA (445 nucleotides) under Gallus gallus (chicken). The record is from RNAcentral. Lineage: Eukaryota; Metazoa; Chordata; Aves; Galliformes; Phasianidae.
GAUACCUUCUGGAGCAGGACCUCCAUUGGCAGUAUUGAAUUUAAUCCCAAAAUCUCCAUUGGGCCCACCAGGGUUGUGGCUGGCCGUCAGAAUGAUGCCGCCGAUGGCUUUGAUUUUCCUGAUGAUGCAGGACACUGCUGGGGUGGAGAGAAUGCCGUUCUGCCCGAUGACCAAGCGGCCAAUCCCGUUGGCGGCGGCGAUGCGGACGAUGAUCUGGAUGGCGUCCUUCAUGUAGAAGCGGCCGUCGCCCCCCACCACCAGCGUGGCCUCUUGCCGCUCGGCCGGCGGCACGGUGGCCAGGAUGCUCUGGAUGAAGUUCUCGGCGUAGUGGGCAUUGUUUUGGAAAACGGUGACUCGUUUGCGCAGCCCGCUGGUGCCGGGUUUCUGGUCGGCGUACGCCUUGGUUUUCACCGUCUCGAUGUGCACCAUGGCCGGCCCGGGCUGC